This 253-nucleotide ribosomal RNA is filed under the name uncultured bacterium. RNAcentral's name for it is "partial 16S ribosomal RNA". It matches the Rfam family "Bacterial small subunit ribosomal RNA", at positions 526 to 779 of the family's 1533-position model. The record is from RNAcentral.
CGUAGGGCGGAGCGUUGUCCGGAAUCAUUGGGCGUAAAGAGCGUGUAGGCGGCCCGGUAAGUCCGCUGUGAAACCCGGGACGUCAACCCCGGGCGUGCAGUGGAAACUGCCGGGCUAGAGGGCGGCAGAGGCGAGUGGAAUUCCCGGUGUAGCGGUGAAAUGCGCAGAUAUCGGGAGGAACACCGGUAGCGAAGGCGGCUCGCUGGGCCGUUCCUGACGCUGAGACGCGAAAGCUAGGGGAGCGAACAGGAUU